GAAAUGCGAUAAUUAAUGUGAAUUGCAGAAUUCAGUGAAUCAUCGAGUCUUUGAACGCACAUUGCGCCCCCUGGUAUUCCGGGGGGCAUGCCUGUCCGAGCGUCAUUGCUGCCCUCAAGCACGGCUUGUGUGUUGGGCUUCCGUCCCAGGCAACGGGGACGGGCCCAAAAGGCAGUGGCGGCACCAUGUCUGGUCCUCGAGCGUAUGGGGCUUUGUCACCCGCUCCCGUAGGUCCAGCUGGCAGCUAGCCUCGCAACCAAUCUUUUUAACCAGGUUGACCUCGGAGCAGGUAGGGAUACCCGCUGAACUUAAGC
RNAcentral lists this unclassified non-coding RNA (314 nucleotides) under plant metagenome. RNAcentral describes it as "partial contains 5.8S ribosomal RNA, internal transcribed spacer 2, and large subunit ribosomal RNA". The stretch from base 1 to 105 matches the Rfam family "5.8S ribosomal RNA", at positions 50 to 154 of the family's 154-position model. The record is from RNAcentral.